Long non-coding RNA from Oreochromis niloticus (Nile tilapia), 1257 nucleotides. RefSeq lists it as uncharacterized. Lineage: Eukaryota; Metazoa; Chordata; Actinopteri; Cichliformes; Cichlidae. The transcript has 3 exons. The record is from RefSeq and is a predicted model, not a curated record.
CUCCCUCAUGCUGUGUGUGAGUCUCCCUGUGUUUCCUGCUCAGUGUCACCGUGACUCCCUCGACUGGAGGCCAGAUUGAUUGAUUUGAUUUGGAGCUGCUUGUACCCUAAAGUGUCCCGGUACGUCUUCAGAGUCACGGUGAGUGUUUGAGGGCAGAGACGAUCUGCUUGUAUCAGGUGCACCUCCCUGUUUUUAUGUUUUCAGAGUUUGGCUCCGUGACACCGUGAUGCCCCCCGCCUCCCCUGUCAGUCAGCGGUUAAAAACCGGAGCGGCUGCUUCUCUGCUGAGUACAUAAAUAACGGUGCUCUGCUGCAUUUCCAUACAGACGGAGCUUCAGUGCAUUAAUCACCACAACAGCAGAGCAAACAGCUGCAGCAGGAAUUUGAGCGAGCCUUAAGCUGAUAGGCCGAGCGCUAAGCUGAGGGCGUAAGCGCUUUCAUUUUGGCCCAUCGUCUCCCAUCAGCGUUUACGGCUCCAUGGAGGACGGCGGCUGGAUUUGGGAACCAUUAGAGCUCCGUGAUGGAAACCACCUGGAGGGCAGACAGCCUGUUACACCUGCUGUGGCCACUAUGUGGCGUUAGAGAGCACCUGGUAAUGUUGCACACAGUAGACAUCUCCAUCCCUGGUAUCAAACAUGAAGGCCUGACGUACGGCCGAGGUCAGAAGUUCACUGCAGUCUGUCAUCAGCAUCUUUAAGCUUGUCAUCAGUGAUCGUGGUGCAGCACACGCAGUGGGAGGACUCAACACACCAGAACAAAGUAAAAGUCCAGCAUCGGAGCAGCUCGGAGCAGGACAAAGUACAAAACAUGAUGUUUCAGCUGCCAACAGGUGGCGUCAUCCCUACAGCUACCAGACUGGCGUACGUGUGGACACGAUGUUCAAGAUUAAAUCUGUAGGUUUGCUAAAGCAGAACAUCUGGAGUGACAAACAUGGCCCACAAUGGGGACUUCCUGUUGACGUCAAACUUCAUGUUUGACGAUGUGGGAUCAAAGUUUGGGAAACUUUAGCUCUAUGUUGAAAUUUUGCUGGGAUGCCAGUUUUCAGCAUCAGGUGUCCGAUUCGUUUCCAGGUCGCUGUGGAGCGCUGUGAGCACUCGUAUAUCGAGUACUGCCGCUCUGUGUGGAAAGUUAUUCUCUGAAGGUGUCAUUUUCUCCUGCGGCGCCCGAUGCUGCGUCUCUGCCAGCUGGCUUCCUCCCGUCGCAGCGAGCAGCGAUGGCGGCCGGCCUCUCUAAUCAGGGCCGCGGCUCAUUAAGAGCC